UCCGGUUUGUCACCGGCAGUCUCGCAUGAGUCCCCAACUAAAUGCUGGCAACAUGCGACAGGGGUUGCGCUCGUUGCGGGACAUAACCCAACAUCUCACGACACGAGCUGACGACAGCCAUGCAGCACCUGUGUCCAGGCUCCCUUUCGGGCACACACGACUCUCAUCGAGCUCCCUGGCAUGUCAAGGGUAGGUAAGGUUCUUCGCGUUGCAUCGAAUUAAUCCACAUCAUCCACCGCUUGUGCGGGUCCCCGUCAAUUCCUUUGAGUUUUAGCCUUGCGGCCGUACUCCCCAGGCGGAGUGCUUAACGCGUUGGCUGCGACACCGCGGGGGUCAAUACCCACAGCAUCUAGCACUCAUCGUUUACGGCGUGGACUAC
RNAcentral lists this unclassified non-coding RNA (379 nucleotides) under uncultured bacterium. RNAcentral describes it as "contains 16S-23S intergenic spacer region". The record is from RNAcentral.